ACCUUUCGCGUACUUCACAUCAAUCAAUCCACUCUCGAAAUAAGUCUUUCCCGUCUUGAUCAUGUUCCUAAUGAAAUUUGUCCAGAAGAAUUCAAUGAUUCCAAGUUGAAUGAAACCCUAUUUUAUAUCAACCCAAAUAGUACUGAAGUUCUCCACUUAUUCUCCAAUUGCCCUUUGGGAAUAAAAUUACCUGGCCCGGGGGUUCCCUCGUUUAGGAAUAGUUCGACUUGUAAGAUAGAG
RNAcentral lists this long non-coding RNA (240 nucleotides) under Panax ginseng (ginseng). Its description in RNAcentral is "long non-coding RNA (PGIN_LNC013554)". Lineage: Eukaryota; Viridiplantae; Streptophyta; Magnoliopsida; Apiales; Araliaceae. The record is from RNAcentral.